RNAcentral lists this ribosomal RNA (138 nucleotides) under uncultured eukaryote. Its description in RNAcentral is "partial 18S ribosomal RNA". It matches the Rfam family "Eukaryotic small subunit ribosomal RNA", at positions 1299 to 1458 of the family's 1831-position model. The record is from RNAcentral.
UGGUGGAGUGAUUUGUCUGGUUAAUUCCGUUAAUGAACGAGACCUCGACCUGCUAAAUAGUUUGGCGAUCUUCUAGAUCGUACUGACUUCCUAGAGGGACUAUCGGUUCUUAACCGAAGGAAGUUCGAGGCAAUAACA